This 301-nucleotide ribosomal RNA is filed under the name uncultured bacterium. RNAcentral's name for it is "partial 16S ribosomal RNA". It matches the Rfam family "Bacterial small subunit ribosomal RNA", at positions 509 to 807 of the family's 1533-position model. The record is from RNAcentral.
CAGUAGCCGCGGUAAUACGUAGGGUGCAAGCGUUACUCGGAAUUACUGGGCGUAAAGCGUGCGUAGGUGGUGGUUUAAGUCCGUUGUGAAAGCCCUGGGCUCAACCUGGGAAUUGCAGUGGAUACUGGGUCACUAGAGUGUGGUAGAGGAUAGUGGAAUUUCCGGUGUAGCAGUGAAAUGCGUAGAGAUCGGAAGGAACAUCUGUGGCGAAGGCGACUAUCUGGGCCAACACUGACACUGAGGCACGAAAGCGUGGGGAGCAAACAGGAUUAGAUACCCGUGUAGUCCCUGUCUCUUAUAC